UAAAGAUCCUCACCUGUUCCACUGUGAUUGUGACUUGCUGUUGGCGUCUUCCUCAAGAAUUCCUCCAAAAAUCUUUAAAUCUAUUGAUUUGAUUGCUGGAAUCACUGGCAUUGUUUACCUGGACCGUCACCGGGAUUCUGUUAGUGCUGAUUGUGGCUCAGUACGCCCCACUCUCUUCAAAAAGGUCGGGGUUUUUUUUCCCCUGUCGGAUCAGAUUCUCAUCUGGAUCGAAAGAUGGCGAGCUAGGAAUGGACUAUGGACUUUAUGAUUUGGAAAUCAACUUAUUCUGAGUCAAUUCUCAUGUGUCUCAUUGUGUUGUUGUAAUGUACGUUUUUUUUAUUCAAAUCACUUAAUAUAUAUAUUCACCAAAACUAAAAGCACUGCCUCCUGUUUUUUUCACACCUCAGGCUCCUUAAAGGCCACUCUUCUGACGCUGCUUUUGUAGCCUCAGUUAGCUGCUUAGCCCAUAACUGUU
Long non-coding RNA from Xiphophorus hellerii (green swordtail), 475 nucleotides. RefSeq lists it as uncharacterized. The record is from RefSeq and is a predicted model, not a curated record. NCBI's taxonomy places the organism in Eukaryota, Metazoa, Chordata, Actinopteri, Cyprinodontiformes, Poeciliidae. The transcript is spliced from 3 exons.